CUACGGGAUGCAGCAGUAGGGAAUAUUCCGCAAUGGACGAAAGUCUGACGGAGCGACACCGCGUGGAGGAUGACACUUUUCGGAGCGUAAACUCCUUUUAUGAGGGAAGAAGAUCUGACGGUACCUCAUGAAUAAGGACCGGCUAAUUACGUGCCAGCAGCCGCGGUAAUACGUAAGGUCCAAGCGUUAACCGGAAUCACUGGGCGUAAAGCGUCCGCAGGUGGUUGUAUAAGUUUGCUAUUAAAUAUCAGUGCUCAACAUUGGUGCCGUAGUGAAAACUGUACAACUAGAGGAUAGGAGAGGAGUGUGGAAUUAUGCAAGUAGGGGUAAAAUCCGUAGAUAUGCAUAGGAACACCAAAAGCGAAGGCAGCACUCUGGACUAUUCCUGACACUCAGGGACGAAAGCGUGGGGAGCAAAAGGGAUUAGAUACCCUGGUAGUC
Molecule: ribosomal RNA, 441 nt
Filed under: uncultured bacterium
Lineage: Bacteria
Description: partial 16S ribosomal RNA
Rfam family: Bacterial small subunit ribosomal RNA
Source: RNAcentral